GACGAACGCUGGCGGCGUGCCUAAUACAUGCAAGUAGAACGCUGAAGGAGGAGCUUGCUUCUCUGGAUGAGUUGCGAACGGGUGAGUAACGCGUAGGUAACCUGCCUGGUAGCGGGGGAUAACUAUUGGAAACGAUAGCUAAUACCGCAUAAUAGCAGUUGUUGCAUGACAACUGUUUGAAAGGUGCAAUUGCACCACUACCAGAUGGACCUGCGUUGUAUUAGCUAGUUGGUGGGGUAACGGCUCACCAAGGCGACGAUACAUAGCCGACCUGAGAGGGUGAUCGGCCACACUGGGACUGAGACACGGCCCAGACUCCUACGGGAGGCAGCAGUAGGGAAUCUUCGGCAAUGGACGGAAGUCUGACCGAGCAACGCCGCGGGAGUGAAGAAGGGUUUCGGAUCGUAAAGCUCUGUUGUAAGAGAAGAACGAGUGUGAGAGUGGAAAGUUCACACUGUGACGGUAUCUUACCAGAAAGGGACGGCUAACUACGUG
RNAcentral lists this ribosomal RNA (495 nucleotides) under uncultured bacterium. RNAcentral's name for it is "partial 16S ribosomal RNA". It matches the Rfam family "Bacterial small subunit ribosomal RNA", at positions 28 to 507 of the family's 1533-position model. The record is from RNAcentral.